CUCCGUUGUCGCGGGGCUUCCUUUUUCUGCCAGCAGUGGCACUAGAGGGAGGCGGAAGGCAGGAGGCCGAAGUAGGGACCUGCCCCAUCCUCGUUUGGCAGCUGGAUCCCAUCAGAAUUGCCCUCGAAUUGGCCCUUUGUCCUGGUGGCAGCAGCUGGUCGGUGCCUCGCUAGAGGGGCGGGGCCUCAACUCUGCAGGCUCCUCCUCCGAGCUCCUGGAAUCCCGUAAUCCCACCGUUUCUUGUGGUUGCUACCUCCUCAGGGCUCCCUUUACAUUUUGUCUCCUUCUUAUAGGUCUUUAACUGAUGUCUUUCGGUGAAUUAUCGCCAUUGAAGUAUCUAGCACAAUUCCUGUUUUCUUAACUGGACCCUGAUUGAUGCAGUGGGGAAGAUCCCUGGUCUGUAGGCCCCAAACCAAGUUGGGGAAGGCAGAGAACAAACCGGUGAAAGGGCAAAUGGUAAAAGGGCCACCAGGAAGCACACCUUCAGGAAACACCAUUUCUGUUCUAGUCCAAAGGGCACCAUCCACCUGGACCAGAAUGUGAGAUGCCCUUUGGAGUUGCACAGAGGUCCUGCCUCUUUCCACCUGCACUGCUGUCACCCUGGCCCGGCCGCCACCCUCUCACUGUAUUUCUGCAGCUGAGACCUAGGUCUUAUGCAAGGGAAGGCCCAGGCCAGGAGGGGCCUCACAGCAAGAGUGAAGGAUGCCGCUUGGACAAAAGAGGAGGGUGGAAGACUGGAUGCCACUGAGAAGCCCUUCCAUGCCCAGGAGCUGGUGCGGCAUGAACUUUGGGAGUCCCCAGAGCCUCUGACCUCCCCUUGUAAACCAGCACCGUAUUCUGAUUGGCUGUCUCUGCCUGCCUCGGUUUAUUCUUCUUACUGAUCGACCACCUCCUUCCGCCGUGUCAGAUCUCUGUUCCUACUGGGCCAGUCCCCCCACCUGCCACAGGGUCACAUGGGAUGGCCUGGGUUCUGCAAGGCCUCGACGGCUUGCCUCUUGCCACCAUCAGAUUCUUCCUCAUUAAACAAAUGAAUCACAAUCCUAAUUAAUUUGAGCAACAGAAUUUAUGUAACUACUCCCAGCAGGAUGUCUGCUCUCAGUCGGUAGCAAGAUUAAUUCCUCUCUCUGGGAAAUUCCAGCCGUGCUGGUCAAUAAAGCUUUAAUGGUGACUGAAAUCUCCCAUCUGUCUCUGCUCAGGGCAGGUAACCCCUGCUAACCAGACACCCAGUGGGCUUGAGGCAGUACCCCAGACACCGAGAAGACAAGGACAAGAACUGCCCGGCCUAGAUGGGUCCUGAGCCAUGUAGAGCUCACAGUAGGUGUUCAGUUAAGGAUGGGGGACUGCCCAUUCCAGGGAUGUUCUGAAUCUCUUAAAGCCCACAGGAGGUGUUCGAUUCGAUUUAUGGAAUGAACGAAAGAGACUGUGUGUUGCUCAGGUCCUUCGUGAAACAGCCUCAAGCUCCUGAACUGCAACCAAGCCCCUCUCUGGCUCUUUCCACCAUGUACUCCCAUUACUCCCCAUGACCAUACCCACGUCAGUCUUUUUCACUAUUUCGAACUUUCUGGACUCAGAGACUUGGCUCUUGAUGCUCCCUGCCCUUGAACUGUGCCAACCCUUUCUCUCCAAAACAGGCCCCACGCUGGCUGCAUGGGAGGGAAGCGUAGUGAAGUGGAAAGUCUUCCGGAAUUAGUUCUAAUUCUGGCUCUGCCACUUACUCCUUGUACUUCACCUCUCUGUUCUUAACCUCUCCCUCCUUUGUGAACCACAUGAGGUACUUAGGAAGAUUAAGUAAGAAAACAGUGCAAAUGUAUCGCCUGGUACUUGGCUCAUUUAAUGUCAGGCAAUGGUGACACAGCAGCACUCAAGACAAGAUUCCUGCUCCCAAGGAAUUUAAUUUCUUGGAGACAAUAAGCAAUAAAGCAAAUAUGUAAGUUUAAUUAGGUGCUCAGAGAAAAUAAAAGAGAAAAAGUGUUAUGGAAAGUGACUGAGGGGACCUCUCUGAGGGGAUGCCAUUUUUGUGGAGACCCAAAAGCCAGCAGGAAACAAAACAUGAGGAUCUGGGGGCACGGUGUUCCAGAAACAGGGAAAAGCAAUGGCAAAGGCUCUGGAGAUACAAGUGACCUUUGUUUGAUUAAUGGGCUGAGGUUCUGGAGGAUUGAAGAGCUUGCCCAGUUACCCAGCUGGGAGGUGCCAGGGUUGGGAUCUGAACCCGUGUCUUUGGGCUUUAAGCAUGGAGUGUUUA
Prionailurus viverrinus (fishing cat) is the source of this 2242-nucleotide long non-coding RNA. RefSeq lists it as uncharacterized. The record is from RefSeq and is a predicted model, not a curated record. The transcript has 3 exons. NCBI's taxonomy places the organism in Eukaryota, Metazoa, Chordata, Mammalia, Carnivora, Felidae.